RNAcentral lists this ribosomal RNA (253 nucleotides) under uncultured bacterium. RNAcentral describes it as "partial 16S ribosomal RNA". It matches the Rfam family "Bacterial small subunit ribosomal RNA", at positions 524 to 776 of the family's 1533-position model. The record is from RNAcentral.
UACGUAGGGGGCAAGCGUUGUCCGGAAUCAUUGGGCGUAAAGCGCGCGUAGGCGGCUCGGAAAGUCGGUCGUGAAAUGCCGGGGCUCAACCCCGGGACUGCGUCCGAUACUCUCGAGCUGGAGGCAGGUAGGGGAGAUCGGAAUUCCUGGUGUAGCGGUGAAAUGCGCAGAUAUCAGGAGGAACACCGGUGGCGAAGGCGGAUCUCUGGGCCUUGCCUGACGCUGAGGCGCGAAAGCUAGGGGAGCGAACAGG